Aegilops tauschii subsp. strangulata is the source of this 1038-nucleotide non-coding RNA. The record is from RefSeq and is a predicted model, not a curated record. NCBI's taxonomy places the organism in Eukaryota, Viridiplantae, Streptophyta, Magnoliopsida, Poales, Poaceae.
CUCCUCCUACUGCUUCAGGUGGACGAGGACGAGCCCUCCAUCAUCGCUGCUGCGGCUGCCUACUCCCUCCUCCUACCUCCUGGCCUGGUGUGAGUGGUGGAGUUAAUGAGCCGGGAUGAAGUUCGAGAAGUUGCAUUACACCGUGUAAAUAUUAAUGAGCUGUGGAAGACAAGUGCACCGGGAUUUCUGGAGGUAACAUGCCUCUGAUUGUAUGCACUGAAUUUCAGAUGCUAUCUUGCGUACGACUGAGCAGUCUCGGAUAUACUUCAACCCAGACAUCAACGCAACAAAUAACUUGAUUAUAAGGUACAAUCAUGAUUACCAAUGCCUAGCUAUUUUUUGAUUUUGACUAACACAAAGGGUAUAAUGUGUAGUUUCAGGGAGCCGUGUAGUUUCAUGGAGCCCCGUCGCUCUCUCAUAGAAUUUGUUCAGAUAUAAAUUUGCCUAUUACCAACAAUACAUGAUAUUAUAAUUAUAAUAUUGCAGGAACAAAUGUCAUGUGAAGCAAAUAAUUUCCUUAGAAAAAAGUAAGCUCCGUUUGCACUAUUAAUUAGCUUCCUGAGUUAUUUUGCUUGACAAGAGAAAUGGACUUGUUUUUUCUAUAGCCUAAUUGAACAGUAAGAGUCUCUCCUACUUUCACUGCUAAGAAAACAAAUAAACCUACAUACGGACAUGCAUCUCAAUCUCUUGUUUCGAAGUUAAACUGUUUGUAGAUACUUUUUGAUGUACCUUUCGAACCCAUAAACUUAAUGUUGUGCUUGUAGUGUUGGUUCUGGGUUUAGAAUCAAUUUAAUAUGUGGAUUGAUGUCCAACCAACCAAAAACCAGAAUUUCUUCUUUGAUAUUCUGCUGGUUUAGAAAAUGUACAUUCUGGUUGGGGAUUUCCAUCGAGAGUGAAUGUAUAAUCCAGCCAACCAACCCAAGAUGUGUUUACCAGCACCAUCACGAUGAUCUUUCUCAGCCUUCUCGGCCCAAUCAGUCUUCUAAUAUUCAUCUCAUGGUAGGCAUGCUCUGCAAAAAUGCAGCAACGGCAUUUUUU